GCCAGGCAUGGUGGUGCAUGCCUGUAGUCCCAGUUACUCAGGAGGCUGAGGUGGGAGGAUUGCUUGAGCCCAGGAGGUUGAGGCUGCAGUGAGCUGAGAUUGAGUCCACUGCACUCCAGCCUGGGCAACAGAGCAAAACUCCAUCUCAA
This is an unclassified non-coding RNA of Macaca fascicularis (crab-eating macaque), 149 nucleotides long. It matches the Rfam family "Metazoan signal recognition particle RNA". From Rfam's summary of the family: The signal recognition particle (SRP) is a universally conserved ribonucleoprotein. It is involved in the co-translational targeting of proteins to membranes. NCBI's taxonomy places the organism in Eukaryota, Metazoa, Chordata, Mammalia, Primates, Cercopithecidae. The record is from Ensembl.